RNAcentral lists this long non-coding RNA (2096 nucleotides) under Sus scrofa (pig). RNAcentral's name for it is "lncRNA (ENSSSCG00050001458.1)". Lineage: Eukaryota; Metazoa; Chordata; Mammalia; Artiodactyla; Suidae. The record is from RNAcentral.
GUAGCCACUGGCCUAUGCCACAGCCACAGCAAUGUGGGGUCCGAGCCAAGUCUGCAACCUACACCACAGCUCACAGCAAUGGCAGAUCCUUAACGCACUGAGCAAGGCAAGGGAUCGAACUCACUUCCUCAUGGAUACUAGUACAGUUCAUUAUUUCUGAGCCAUGAUGGGAACUCCAUGUAAGAAGCUGAAAUUAAUCACUGAAUUCAUAAGGUUAAUGAUAAGGUUAGAAUCAUCUAAACAAAUGGAUUAGUCUUUGAUCUGAAUAGAGAAGCUUAAAGUAGCUAAGUUAAUCUUUUCUAAAAAGGAAAGACAGCAAAAAUUUUUAAAUACUGGAAAUGAUUCUGGAAAUCACUGCAACUAAUUUCCUGUAGUUAAUGUUUGUGUUUUUUCAUCCCACAGCUGUUAACCAUUUUUGGUUAUAAGUUUGCAAAAACAAAUCACAAAUAAAAAUCAUAAGCAACCAAAACUGCAUUAAAGUUUUUUGCUACAAUCCCAUUUUAUGGUACAUACAUAAUAUUAUCCACUUGAAAUCUAUUAAAGUUUGGAAACAAAUGAAUUCCUACAACUUACUGGGUUUAUUAAGGACUAUAGGGCGGAAAAAAAAAUCUCAGUGACCAACUGUCUGUAUUUCCUCCCAAAUACUUCAAUAAAAAGGAUAGGUGAACUCAUGAGACAAAUAUAAUACAUUGAGAAAAUCGGUUGAAGUCACAAAAACUAAAGCUUCUUUAAAAGAAAACCCAGUUUCUCUUUAACACUGAAUUACUUUUCUUUCCUUCAUAACACCAUCUUUUGGUAAAAGAACUGUCUUACCUUGGCCUUAAUUACUUCUCUUACAUGGUCUUUAACUUACUGCAACUGACUUAAUUCUCUUGAAUUUGUUUUCCUCAAAUUGUACUGUAUAAAUAAUACCAAACAGGAAUAGAUGGCGUGUAAAAAACAUUUUCAGAUAUUCUUCUAAAUGCUUUACUUGCAUUUAUUUAUUUAAUCCUAACAAGAGCCCUAGGAGGCAAUUACCUUUAUUUAUACCUGUUCUUUGGAGUGUGGAAAUUGGAAAACAAAGAUUCAGUAUUUUGUGGCAGACCUAGGAUCUGAUCCCAGUAGUCUAGUUCCAUGCGCUUAACCACAGUGACCCACUAAUUUUUCAAUCAGUGAUCAUCCUUAUAAAACAGUGUACAGGAGUUCCCGUCGUGGCGCAGUGGUUAACGAAUCCGACUAGGAACCAUGAGGUUGCGGGUUCAGUCCCUGCCCUUGCUCAUUCUCCCACAGACAUAUACUCACAGGUGCAGAUGUACUGUGUGCUCUACAUUACUCUAAAGUAGGGGCAGACAGCAUUUCCCCUGCAGUGUUAUCGAAGGGCUUUAUUACAGUUUCUAUCGCAGGCUCUGGGUAGCUCUGAAACGGAUCCUCCCACCCAAUCAGCUCUGACCAGCGCUAUAACAAGGUAAGCAUCCCCAGCACUGAUAUCUCUCCCUUGAUGAAAUGACAGCAUGAAAAUAAAAAUAACUGCUUUACAAGAGCCUUUCCAUAGUCAGGAAAAGUCCACACAGAGGGCCCUUUAAAAUGACCCUUUCUAAAGAAAGGCGAAGAGGUUGCAAAGGCUGGAAGAGGCAGAAACAUGAGGACAAAUCAGGCCAAAGGGCAAAGGCAUGUGCUAUGCUUGACUUUACAUGCAGGGCACAAUCAGUCAUAUGAAUUUAUGAUAUUAAACUUGCAGUUUAUGUGCUGAAGAUUUCCAUAUUAUUAAGGAAAUUUUACAACAGAAACAAAAGUAGACAAAAUAAUAUAAUGAACUUUCAGGUACUUCCCACUCAGUUUUAAAAAUUAUUGGAGUUUCCGUUGUGGCUCAGUGGAAAUAAAUCUGACUAGUAUCCAUGAGUACGCAGGUUCGAUCCCAGGCUUCACUCAGUGGGUUAAGGAUUCAGCGUUGCCAUAAGCUGUGGUGUAGAUUUCUGACACGGCUCGGAUCCCACUUUGCUAUGGCUGUGGUGUAGGCCCGCAGCUGCAGCUCCGAUUCGACCCUAAAUCCCUAGCCUGGGAACCUCCAUAUCCGUGGGUGCUGCCCUAAAAAGACAAAAAAAAAAAAAAAAAAAAAA